CCUACGAGUGGCAGCAGUGAGGAAUAUUUGUCAAUGGGCGCGAGCCUGAACCAGCCAAGUAGCGUGAAGGAUGACUGCCCUACGGGUUGUAAACUUCUUUUAUAAAGGAAUCAAGUGAGGCACGUGUGCCUUUUUGUAUGUACUUUAUGAAUAAGGAUCGGCUAACUCCGUGACAGCAGCCGCGGUAAUACGGAGGAUCCGAGCGUUAUGCGGAUUUAUUGGGUUUAAAGGGAGCGUCGAUGGGUUGUUAAGUCAGUUGUGAAGGUGUGCGGCUCAACCGUAAAAUUGCAAUUGCUACUGGCAGUACUGAGUACAGUUGAGGUAGGCGGAAUUCGUGGUGUAGCGGUGAAAUGCUUAGAUAUCACGAAGAACUCCGAUUGCGAAGGCAGCUUACUAAACUGCCACUGACAUUGAUGCUCGAAAGUGUGGGUAUCAAACAGGAUUAGAUACCCUUGUAGUC
RNAcentral lists this ribosomal RNA (460 nucleotides) under uncultured bacterium. Its description in RNAcentral is "partial 16S ribosomal RNA". It matches the Rfam family "Bacterial small subunit ribosomal RNA", at positions 338 to 795 of the family's 1533-position model. The record is from RNAcentral.